CUCGUAGGCGGCCAACUAAGUCAGACGUGAAAUCCCUCGGCUUAACCGGGGAACUGCAUCUGAUACUGGAUGGCUUGAGAUCGGGAGAGGGAUGCGGAAUUCCAGGUGUAGCGGUGAAAUGCGUAGAUAUCUGGAAGAACACCGGUGGCGAAGGCGGCAUCCUGGACCGACACUGACGCUGAGGAGCGAAAGCCAGGGGAGCAAACG
This 207-nucleotide ribosomal RNA is filed under the name uncultured bacterium. RNAcentral's name for it is "partial 16S ribosomal RNA". It matches the Rfam family "Bacterial small subunit ribosomal RNA", at positions 568 to 774 of the family's 1533-position model. The record is from RNAcentral.